GGGCCUAUAGCACAGUGGUAGUGCGCCCGGUUUGCAUCCGGGAUGCUGGAGUUCGAUUCUCCAUAGGUCCACCC
This 74-nucleotide transfer RNA is filed under the name Candidatus Sungbacteria bacterium RIFCSPHIGHO2_02_FULL_49_20. RNAcentral's name for it is "tRNA-Ala". It matches the Rfam family "tRNA". Rfam says of the family: Transfer RNA (tRNA) molecules are approximately 80 nucleotides in length. RNAcentral also lists the same sequence under 1 other name. The record is from RNAcentral. Lineage: Bacteria; Candidatus Sungiibacteriota.